RNAcentral lists this ribosomal RNA (799 nucleotides) under uncultured bacterium. RNAcentral's name for it is "bacterial SSU rRNA". It matches the Rfam family "Bacterial small subunit ribosomal RNA", at positions 8 to 808 of the family's 1533-position model. The record is from RNAcentral.
AGAGUUUGAUCCUGGCUCAGGAUGAACGCUGGCGGCGUGCUUAACACAUGCAAGUCGAACGGGAAACUUUUCAUUGAAGCUUCGGCAGAUUUGGUCUGUUUCUAGUGGCGGACGGGUGAGUAACGCGUGGGUAACCUGCCUUAUACAGGGGGAUAACAACCAGAAAUGGUUGCUAAUACCGCAUAAGCGCACAGGACCGCAUGGUCCGGUGUGAAAAACUCCGGUGGUAUAAGAUGGACCCGCGUUGGAUUAGCUAGUUGGCAGGGUAACGGCCUACCAAGGCGACGAUCCAUAGCCGGCCUGAGAGGGUGAACGGCCACAUUGGGACUGAGACACGGCCCAAACUCCUACGGGAGGCAGCAGUGGGGAAUAUUGCACAAUGGGGGAAACCCUGAUGCAGCGACGCCGCGUGAGCGAUGAAGUAUUUCGGUAUGUAAAGCUCUAUCAGCAGGGAAGAAAAUGACGGUACCUGACUAAGAAGCCCCGGCUAACUACGUGCCAGCAGCCGCGGUAAUACGUAGGGGGCAAGCGUUAUCCGGAUUUACUGGGUGUAAAGGGAGCGUAGACGGCAUGGCAAGCCAGAUGUGAAAGCCCGGGGCUCAACCCCGGGACUGCAUUUGGAACUGUCAGGCUAGAGUGUCGGAGAGGAAAGCGGAAUUCCUAGUGUAGCGGUGAAAUGCGUAGAUAUUAGGAGGAACACCAGUGGCGAAGGCGGCUUUCUGGACGAUGACUGACGUUGAGGCUCGAAAGCGUGGGGAGCAAACAGGAUUAGAUACCCUGGUAGUCCACGCCGUAAACG